GACGAACGCUGGCGGCGUGCCUAAUACAUGCAAGUUGAGCGAUGAAGAUUGGUGCUUGCACCAAUUUGAAGAGCAGCGAACGGGUGAGUAACGCGUGGGGAAUCUGCCUUUGAGCGGGGGACAACAUUUGGAAACGAAUGCUAAUACCGCAUAACAACUUUAAACAUAAGUUUUAAGUUUGAAAGAUGCAAUUGCAUCACUCAAAGAUGAUCCCGCGUUGUAUUAGCUAGUUGGUGAGGUAAAGGCUCACCAAUGCGAUGAUACAUAGCCGACCUGAGAGGGUGAUCGGCCACAUUGGGACUGAGACACGGCCCAAACUCCUACGGGAGGCAGCAGUAGGGAAUCUUCGGCAAUGGACGAAAGUCUGACCGAGCAACGCCGCGUGAGUGAAGAAGGUUUUCGGAUCGUAAAACUCUGUUGGUAGAGAAGAACGUUGGUGAGAGUGGAAAGCUCAUCAAGUGACGGUAACUACCCAGAAAGGGACGGCUAACUACGUG
This 497-nucleotide ribosomal RNA is filed under the name uncultured bacterium. RNAcentral's name for it is "partial 16S ribosomal RNA". It matches the Rfam family "Bacterial small subunit ribosomal RNA", at positions 28 to 507 of the family's 1533-position model. The record is from RNAcentral.